This is a long non-coding RNA of Populus nigra (black poplar), 974 nucleotides long. RefSeq lists it as uncharacterized. The record is from RefSeq and is a predicted model, not a curated record. The transcript is spliced from 4 exons. NCBI's taxonomy places the organism in Eukaryota, Viridiplantae, Streptophyta, Magnoliopsida, Malpighiales, Salicaceae.
GUGAAAUGAUUCAUAAUCGACUCUGGAAACACCAAUGUGCUUUCCUUUACCGGUCCUACGAUUUUGCGUUUAUUGACCAUAAACUACUGCUCUCAGGUUGACUCAUUGCUCUCUCUUCACUCCCUCACUAUAAUUAAACCCCACCACAAAGAACCCUUCUGAUCACCAUGUUUUACUCUUUUUAGCUCUUCCCUUACUUCUUCAUCUCCAACUUCUUUGUUUACUGUUUGAUCUCAACGUUUUCUCUGAUCAUAUCUCUCUAAGCUAUAGAAAUGAAGAAAGCUGUGUUGAAAGUGGAGUUGCAUGAUGAGAAAGCCAAGAAAAAAGCCAUGAAGAUAGUCUCUGGUCUUUCAGGGGUGGAUUCAGUAUCCAUCGACAUGAAGGACAAGAAGAUGACAGUGAUAGGGGGCAUUGAUCCAGUAUGCAUAGUGGCCAAACUGAGAAAGCUGUGUCACACAGAAAAAAUUGCUUCUUUUUCAUAAUUCAGGGAGUUUUGGUAGCUCCAGUUUGAUUUAGUUAUUGUUUCUAUGAGAUUAUUUGGUAUUGAUUUCAAGUGAUUACUGUUUCUUGAUCAUCUUGAUAUUGAUUCAUAACAAAAUUUACAUGGACUUAUAUUGUUGCAGAAAGCUGUGUUGAAAUUGGAGUUGCAUGAUGAGAAAGCCAAGAAAAAAGCCAUGAAGAUAGUCUCUGGUCUUUCAGGGGUGGAUUCAGUAUCCGUCGACAUGAAGGACAAGAAGAUGACAGUGUAGAGGAUAAUCAAAGUGCUUGUGUCAUUUCUUAAUUAAUUUGAUGUUAAAAACAAAUAUAAUACAUAGAGAUGAAAUAAGUGGAAAAAAAUAAUAUGGCUUAGUGGUGGAUUUGGGAAAUUUGGGUGGUUAUUAGAACUUCGUUAGUGAUUACACUACAGCUGUACAAAAGUUGAUGGUGUUGGGUUGUUUUAUAUUAAUGAAUUGUGGGUCUUAUUUUGGUAUUAA